Molecule: ribosomal RNA, 488 nt
Filed under: uncultured bacterium
Lineage: Bacteria
Description: bacterial SSU rRNA
Rfam family: Bacterial small subunit ribosomal RNA
Source: RNAcentral
UCCUGGCUCAGAGCGAACGUUUGCGGCGGGCCUAACACAUGCAAGUCGAACGCACUAGCAAUAGUGAGUGGCGCACGGGUGCGUAACACGUGGGUAAUCAACCCUUCAGCUUGGGAUAACGACUUGAAAGGGUCGCUAAUACCGGAUACGGCGAGAGAGGCUUCGGCAUUUCUCGAGAAAGCCUCGCAAGGGGCACUGAAGGACGAGCCUGCGGCCCAUCAGCUAGUUGGUGAGGUAAGAGCUCACCAAGGCGAAGACGGGUAGCUGGUCUGAGAGGAUGAUCAGCCACACUGGAACUGAGACACGGUCCAGACUCCUACGGGAGGCAGCAGUGGGGAAUAUUGCGCAAUGGGCGAAAGCCUGACGCAGCCACGCCGCGUGAGCGAUGAAGGCCUUCGGGUCGUAAAGCUCUGUGGGGAGAGACGAAGAAAGCCCGUGAAGAGCGGGCCUUGACGGUAUCUCCUUAGCAAGCACCGGCUAACUCUGUG